This 66-nucleotide transfer RNA is filed under the name Anostirus castaneus. Its description in RNAcentral is "tRNA-Asn". The record is from RNAcentral. Lineage: Eukaryota; Metazoa; Arthropoda; Insecta; Coleoptera; Elateridae.
UUAAUUGAAACCAAAAUAGAGGUUUAUCACUGUUAAUGAUACUACUGAGAUUAUUCUCCAAUUAAA